RNAcentral lists this unclassified non-coding RNA (5202 nucleotides) under Agrilus planipennis (emerald ash borer). RNAcentral's name for it is "serine/threonine-protein kinase Genghis Khan, transcript variant X2". Lineage: Eukaryota; Metazoa; Arthropoda; Insecta; Coleoptera; Buprestidae. The record is from RNAcentral.
UCUUCAUUAUCAAUUCAUUUCCAAAUGUCUUGAUAAAGAAAGAUGUCGCUUUCUUAAGUUUGUUGAUUGAUAACAAUUUUUUGUUAUGCUUUACGGCUUUAAAAACAAUGUAUUUUUAGAAUUUGUUAGUUAUUAUUCGGAAAUUAAUUAGAAUAAAAAAGAAUUUUCAACAUUUGUGACAGUUCGGUUGUACUGCAGUGGGGGUGUAAGUGUUAAUGGCUUCCAAAAGUAACGAAGAGAAAUGUCGCGACAUAAGGAAUUACUUUGAAGUAAUUCUACUUUUAAGAUGUUUGUAAUAUUUGAGCCAAAUGAGUGACAAUUAUAAUAAGAUAAUGCCAGCUGUUUCGGGAGAACAGCGGCUUCGGCAACUCGAGGCUCUUUUCCUCGGGGGCCCCAUACAAGCCAAAGGACAAAGCUUUAGUAUCGAAACUCUUAUAGACGUGCUUCUGGUAUUGUAUGAUGAAUGCUGCAAUUCAAGUCUCCGUAGGGAAAAAACAGUUUCAGAUUUUAUAGAAUUUGCUAAACCUGUUGCAAGUUCUAUAAAAUCGCUUCGCAUGACAAGAGAAGAUUUUGAAAUUAUUAAAGUUAUUGGAAGAGGAGCCUUUGGUGAAGUAUGCGUGGUAAAAAUGAGAGGAUCAGAUAAGGUUUUUGCAAUGAAAAUUUUAAACAAAUGGGAAAUGUUAAAAAGAGCAGAAACAGCUUGCUUUCAGGAAGAGAGGAAUGUACUUGUUUUUGGAGAUCGCAGAUGGAUAACCCAUUUACAUUAUGCCUUUCAGGACGAGAACAAUUUGUACCUUGUUAUGGACUAUUAUUGCGGCGGAGACCUUUUAACAUUAUUAAGCAAGUUUGAGGACCGUUUACCGGAAGAUAUGGCCAAGUUUUACAUUGCAGAAAUGGUUCUAGCCAUAGAUUCUAUUCAUAAUUUAGGAUAUGUUCAUAGAGAUAUAAAGCCCGAUAACGUAUUAUUGGAUGCAAAUGGUCAUAUACGACUGGCGGAUUUUGGUAGCUGUUUGAAAUUAAAUGAGGACGGUAUGGUUCAGUCAAAUGUCGCCGUUGGGACUCCGGAUUAUAUUUCUCCUGAAAUUUUAAGGGCAAUGGAAGAUGGGCAAGGACGAUACGGUCCAGAGUGUGACUGGUGGUCACUCGGUGUUUGUAUGUAUGAGAUGUUGUAUGGAGAAACGCCGUUUUAUGCGGAAAGUCUUGUUGAAACUUAUGGAAAAAUAAUGAAUCACAAGAACUGCUUUGAUUUCCCUUUGGAUAUUGAAGUAUCUGAUGCUGCGAAAGAUCUCAUAAAGCAAUUAAUUUGUAGUCAAGAAUUUCGAUUAGGACAGAACGGUAUUGAAGACUUUAAGAAUCAUCCGUGGUUUGAGGGAGUCGAUUGGGAAGGAAUAAGAGAUAGCGCGGCGCCUUAUAUUCCUGAAGUGUCUAGUCCCACAGACACGUCGAAUUUCGACGUCGAUGAUGCCGAUAUUCGAAUAUCAGACGCGCUGCCCCCAACGGCUAAUUCGGCAUUUACGGGGCUCCAUUUACCUUUUGUAGGUUUCACGUUCACUCAGGGAAGUUGUAUUUCGGACAUGGGUUCUGCCAUGAGGAAUAUGAACGCAAAUAAUUUCUAUGUAAAUAAUGUGGGAAAACAAGAUAAUCGAAAUAAUGGUGAUAUAAAAACGCUGGCCUUAAAUCAAGACAAAAUAGAGAACGAAAAGAAAACAUCUCCGGACAGUACUCGGAAGCUUCAAGACGAAAUCAAUAUGUUGACUAAAAAGAACGGAGAAUUGGAAACUAAACUUCGCACUUUAGAAAGUGGACAUUCUAAAGAAAUUUGUCUCGAUUCCACGGAUGGUUCAGAAGCGAAUAAAAUAAGAGAAUUCGAGAAAAUCAUUAAAGCUUUGAAACAAGAAAAGGAGGAAUUUCAAAAAGAUAAACUAGAUUUACAAGAGAAGAUUAAAUUGCAAGACAAAGAACUAAAAGAUGCUUUGGCGCAACGAAAAUUAGCAAUGACUGAAUAUUCUGAGGUGUCCGAUCGUCUGUCUGAACUACGUCAACAGAAACAAAAAUUAUCGAGACAGGUGCGCGAUAAGGAGGAAGAAUUGGAAACUGCAAUGCAAAAAGUGGAUACAUUAAGACAUGAUAUUCGUAAAGCGGAAAAGCUUCGACGGGAAUUAGAGUCUCGUGUGGAGGAAGCUCUUGCAGAAGCCAACAAGGAAAGAAAACUCAGAGAACGGUCGGAGGAAUACUGCAGGCAGAUGCAGGCAGAAUCGGAUCGGUUGAGGGUGAGAAGCGACAUUGGUUCUCGGGAUCAGCAGGAUGCCCAGAGACUUAAAGCAGAACUGGAGAAAUUGGAGGUUCAGUAUAACGAAAGUUUAACUCAACAGCAAACAAGAUACAAUAUGGAAUUAUCAUCACUACGAGAACAACUGACUGAAGCAGAAAAUCAUAGAGACCUGUUAGAGCGUGAAGUUCAGGUAUUAAAAGACAAACUUGAGAAGGCAAGAGUAGAGGCAGUCGCUGAUUCAGAACAGACUGUGACCGAAAUUAACCGCAGGAAUGAUAGAGAAAAACAAAUUAUGCGAGAAGAUAACGAGAAACUUCAGUUAAAUGUUAAUUUAUUGUCAGAGCAACUAAGUCGACUGCAAAAUGAACGUACGGCUAUCGAAAUUGAAUACGAGCAAUUGCGAGGAAAGCAAGAGACACUCAGUCAAUGGGAAUCACAACUGGCCGAAAUCAUACAAUGGGUUAGUGACGAAAAAGACGCAAGGUCGUAUUUACAAGCUUUAGCCACAAAAAUGACUGAAGAACUGGAGUAUUUGAAACAUUCUGGUGUCUCAAACUCAGUAAGUGGAAGCGACAAGAACUGGCGAAACCGAAGAUCCCAGAAAUUAGAUAAAAUGGAACUUUUGAACUUACAAAGUUCUCUUCAGUCUGAAAUUCAAGCCAAACAAACCAUCAGUGAGGAUUUGAGCAAAACAAGAGCAGAAUUAUUGGCGGCACAAAAGGAAUUGAGAGAUUACCGGCAGAGAAAUGAUGUGCUUGCAAUGGAAGUGAAACGGAAAGAAAAACAAAUCAAAGACCUCCAAGGACGUUUGGAUUCAGGAGAGGGAUUUCUGGAAAGACCUUCAUCUCAGAUGUCUUAUCUAGACCAGUUUUUGAAAGAAACCAAUUCUUCGCAGUCUCAAAUCCAGGGCCAUGCAGUGCCACAUUCUUACGAAAAUGCAGCCCUUUUGUACCAAGGGGGUUCUCUUGAGUCAGAAGAAGGUGACAUUGAGGACAAUCGGGCUCUUAGUAUAGCCAGUUCUAAAAGCAAUUUAUCGGAAUUAAAUAUGCAUGAAUCGCAUUCUCCGACGAAACUGAAAACGCACCAGUUUUUAGUUCGUACUUUCUCUAGUCCAACAAAAUGUAGUCAUUGUACGUCUUUGAUGGUCGGCUUGAUGCGCCAAGGAAUGGUGUGUGAAAUAUGCGGGUUCACGUGUCAUACCUCUUGCUGUCCGCACGUGCCUGCCGUUUGCCCUGUACCAUCAGAUCAAACGAAACGUCCAUUAGGAAUAGAUCCAACUAGAGGUAUAGGCACAGCCUACGAAGGUUACGUCAAAGUUCCCAAACAGGGUGGCGUAAAAAAAGGCUGGGUACGUCAAUUUGUAGUUGUCUGUGAUUUCAAAUUGUUCUUGUACGACAUAUCACCCGAUCGAAAUGCACUACCUUACGUGCAUGUUGCCCACGUUUUGGACAUGCGCGAUCCCCAAUUCAGUGUCAGUAGCGUACGUGAAUUGGAUGUAAUUCACGCUAACAAAAAGGACAUACCGUGCAUUUUUAGGAUAACAACAUCUUUAAUGGAACCUCCGGGCCCUCGAAAUUCGACAUUAAUGUUGGCUGAUUCCGAAGCAGAAAAAAAUAAAUGGGUCGUCGCCUUGUCUGAAUUACAUCGAAUAUUAAAGAGGAAUAAUCUUCCGAAUACAACCGUACUAGUAGCUAGGGAACUUAUAGACAAUUCGUUGACUCUGAUCAAAAACACCAUGAGUUCAGUGAUCAUUGAUCCCGACAGGAUUGUUCUAGGAGCCGAAGAAGGAUUGUAUUGCGUUGACUUGGAUCGAUCAGAAAUUGCAAGAGUGGGCGAGGGUAAGAAAAUCUACCAGUUAGAGUACAUCAGUGAAGAGCAUUUACUGGUGGUAGUAAGUGGAAAGCAAAGGCACGUACGACUUGUACCGAUAAGGGCCCUAGAUGGAGACGAUACUGAAUGGAUCAAGGUGGCUGAGAGUAAAGGUUGUUCUGCUCUCGCUGUGGGACCAGUUUUACAAAACCCGCUGACUUUUUAUCUUUGUAUAACCGUUAAAAAACAGAAUUCGUCUUCGAUAAUUGUUUACGAAAUAACGCGAACCAGGACGAGACAUCAUAGGUUAAGAGAACUUUCGCUACCAGUCGUUGUUCAAUCGUUGCAGUUGCUCUCUGAUGGAAAAUUGUGUAUUGGAUCAUCCUCCACGUUCACCCUUUACAGUGUUCAAGGCGAUCAGCUGUCAAUAUCAUUAUUGCACACGGAAAACCCCCUUCAAGCGACGUUGUCUCUCAGUUCUGUAGAAGCGGUCAGGGCGAUAGAGUUACCGAAAAAUGAGUUUUUGCUUGUCUUUGGCACCCUUGCAGCUUAUGUGGACAGGCAUGGACGGAGGUCGAGAGAAAGAGAAAUUAUGUAUCCUGCCGUACCCACAGCAAUUUGUUACCGCGACGGCCACUUAAUAGUUUAUAGCGAAACUCACAUAGAUGUGUUCAACUGUUUAUCAGGGGAGUGGGUUCAGACUUUAAAUGUGAAAAAAGCAAAGCCGUUGAAUAAUACUGGGAGUUUGUCGAUUUGCGUCAUCCACGAUUUAAGUCACUUAUUGUACUUAUCCAAUAUACAUCAACCGGAACUAAUUAAUUUAGAUAACUUCGUGACACAAGAUAGAGACGGUAGAACGAUACAGAGGCCUCGAAGGAGAUUUUCAUUGCGAGAGGGGCACAGAGGACAGAGAAUAGGUAAGAAGAGCAGUAAACGUAACUUUUUAAGAAAAUUUUGAAAUAGCAAAGGUGUAGAAGAAAACGAAAAAGAAAACGCAGUAGUUUAAGAAUACAAUGUAAAACUAUGAGAACUUCGGACCGACGUUCUAAACUCAUAUCAGCUCCUACGAAUUUCAAUCAUAUAAGUCACAUGGGCCCCGGAGAAGGCAUUCAAAAACAACG